AGGAAAUGGAUGUUCAUCAGAGUCACCCUCCGCGGCACAGAGGAGGCGGGCAAAGACGUCUUCCCUCGGUAGGGUAGGCGUGCCCGCUGAGACCAUCCGGAGGACUGGGGAAGGCACUGGGCGGGGUCCCGCCGCUCCGCGGAACGCCGGGAAGGGGUCACUUCCAGAGGAAGGUUCCGGUUCCGGUACAGGCGGUGGUUGAGUUGUCAUAGCAACGUGGCUGGCAGGACCCUGGGUUUUGCGUUAGGGGUGGUAACAGGGCCGCAGAAGGCCUGGGUGGGUCUUCUCCAGCUUAGGUGAGCGACUCCGGUGCCUCCCUAAGGCCGCGGCGAAAACGGCCAUUCGUGGCGGAAGCCGGACCCGGCGCUGGAGUACGGGCUUGCACGGGCUACGUCAUCUGGCCCGGGGCCACGGGUCCCGGCCCUAUCCUGGCGCCCUGCUGCCCACGUGAGAGCGGAGUUCCAUGCCAGGCUUCCGGGUCCUCGCCUCUGGCGCGCGAUUAUUUCUCUACAACAGCUUUUAUUUUAAAAGUUUGCACCGCGUUCUCGUCUGUGUGAUCCUAUCUGGGUUUGGGGGCGUUGACUCUGCACCCUACUUAAGCCCUUGGACCUGGCCCGGGGAAAGAUUCUUUGAUUCCAGGUAAAUCAGAGAAACAGGCAUCAAGAACAGAAGAAUGAGGUCUGUCUGGAAAAAGCCCAGCCACUGUUAAUAUAGUGAGAACUGUUAGCGUGACAUCGCUGUAACCUGGCAGCCAAGGAGAGUGGCCUAGAAUGUGCAUGAAUGAACAAUGACAACCUCACUGCACUAGUCAGUGGGGGUGGUAGACACCGUUGAGUGAGCAUGUGUGCUGUGUGGUCAUCACAUGCAAAAUGACUGAGUGAGUAGAACAACGAAUCUGCAUCAAAUUUUGCAUUAGGCUUGAACAUUCUCCUGCAGAAACUAUUCAGAUGAUUCAGGAGGCUUUGGGGGAUGACGCAGUGAGUGCAGAGCAAGUAAAAGUGCGGCACAAAUGUGUCGAGGAUGAUUGAGAUUCUGUUGAAAGUGAUCCACGUUCUGGAAGGCCUGCAACAAGCAGAGCACCUGAGAAUGUUGAACGUGUACAGGCCUCAAUCAACAAAGAUCGACAACCCAGUGCCUGGCUGGGAACUUUCUGGGCGGGCCCCCUGGCUCAUAGGAGACGCCGGGGUGCUGGGGCGGGGCUGCUGUGUCAGAAGCUCAGCCUGCAGGGCAGCAGCAGAGAACACGUGGUUUCCGAAACCACCUUUCACUCGUGCUACAGUAAGUUGAUCCUUUUAGAAUAAAAGGCAGUUUGUUCCUGAAAUUGUAAGUUGUCCAUUGCCUGCUCAGCUGUCUACUUCGGCCUUUGCGUUGACUGGAGGAGGGAGGAGAAUUUGCACACUGGUGUUCUGAGGACCCCGAGGCACGGAGCAGUAAUGAUGGCCCUUAUCUAGGUGGUGACGUUGGCUUCGGGAGGGCGGUUGUCUUUCUCGGUUGUGUCACUGAGUUGGGAACACCGCUGUCGUUAAAGACUCAGAGUAACCCUUGAGCGGGGAGGACACGGAGCCCGUGUCUCUCAAGCGUGAGGUGGAGCGGCUGCGCACAGCGGGGAAGGGCGGGAACGGAGGGGGAAGGGAGGCCGUGGGAAAGCGUGUCCUUCAGGGAGCGAGGCGGGUGGCCUUGGUGGUGUGACCGAGGACAGGAGAGCAAAUCAUGUGUCCAAACCAAAGGAACUGGAAUGAUACAUCUAACUUUAAGUUUUUAAUAAA
Phyllostomus hastatus (greater spear-nosed bat) is the source of this 1766-nucleotide long non-coding RNA. RefSeq lists it as uncharacterized. The transcript has 3 exons. The record is from RefSeq and is a predicted model, not a curated record. Lineage: Eukaryota; Metazoa; Chordata; Mammalia; Chiroptera; Phyllostomidae.